GAUCAUUGUAAAUUAUUGUCUUUAAUAUUUUUUUUUUACUGUCACGAAAAUUGUAAUAUAUGUUAGAUACGUAAUUGUUCGGAAAGUCGAUGACGGUAUUUCAACUUUAAACUUUGGAACUUAACUUUCGGUUUAAUCGGAGUGGCGAGGGAAUUAACAAAAUUCGAUAGAUUUCAAUUUUAUUGAACGUGGUUCAAUUCGACGACAUUAAAUUUGACGUGUUUCAUUUUGACACGGUUCAAUUCCACGCGAUUGGAUUUUGACGCAUUUCAAUUCCACGUGAUUCAUUUUCAGUACGGUUCAAUUCCAUAUUACCUAAUUUCGGCACGAUUCAAUUCCACGUGAUCCAAUUUCAGCGUAAAGCAUUUCCAAACUGCAAUUACUAUUCUAGAAGAGCAAACACAGUUAUAGAUAGUUAGAGCUAAUUAAAUGAAGUUCUUGAUCAACAAUAAUUCUGAUACGUUGAAAAAAGUAACAUGUAUAAUAAGAUUGUAGUUAUGUAUAUCAUAUUUAUAAGCGAAUACAGCCUGAGAAAUACUUGUUGAUCAAAUACUAAAGAUGCAUUCAGAGUGGGCGACGGACACUUAACCUACACAUCAUACAAUUCAUCUACAAGUAACAGUUCCAUAACAACCUAUGCAGUAUGUACAGCUACAUAGGGUAAGAACUUAUCCAUUAACUACAGACCUAAUUAUCCAAUUACCCUUCCCUAAAAUUUCCAUAUGAACACCCAUAAAAAAUAAUGAAAAGAACCGACAAAUUAUCUUAUCACGAUAUGAAAAGCAUGUAGGGUGCGUUGUUUCAAGCUCGAACGACCGGUAAACCGAUCAGUCUGCAUAAUGUGAUUUAAACGUCACCCUAACGAGAUCAACCGCCCCGAUGGUUCGAUCGUCGCAAAGCCGAGGGCAGCAAGGGUGGUGAACGAUUAAUCCGUGACUUUCCGUUCCUGGAUCGAGAUAUCCUUGGAUAGAAACGAGACGAGGGAACCAGCUGUGACAGGGCAGCGGCUGCACGUACAAUAUCGCCGUGGCUUUUGGGGAUCCAAGAUGACGCCCUCUCCUUCCGUUCUCGCGUUAUGUCCAAGGGGCUACACGCCACCUUCUCUGGCGUCAGCUUGCAACGGAAGAAACAAAACGGCUGACCCUGCCUCUUCUUUCACGUAUCGCCAAAAAAACUCCCCCUUUUUUCUGAUUAUCAAUAUAUCAGGUACACGUUCUUGAACACUUUCAGAGAUUGUUAUGAAGGAGGGAUUUCUGGAACAGUGGAUUGGUGCAUGUUUGGUGAUCAAAGUUUACUUUGUACAGCUUUAAUUUUAUUAAGCUUAGUGGUGUGACGAUUCGCAAAUGGAAAACGAUAGCCAAAAAAAGUGAAAAACCUGGUUAAUCAAUGCCAGGAAAACCAUGGUUGUUCUUUGUCAAAUAUUUUACCGUGGCUUCGUUUCAAUUCCAAGAAAACAACCCCUCGUCCUUUCGUGUUAAUAUUUGCUGCGCUCAAUAUCGUCAAAGGACUCUUGCUCCGUGUUUUCCUCGAACAUACAAUAUUUACUCCUUGAAAAAUUCUUCUCUGCAGCUGCAAAGAUCGCAAUAUGCCUUUUACUUUAUUUGUGACUUGACAAAUCACUCAUUUAUUAUUACACGAAUUUAUAUUCUUCACAAUGUAUUUAUAAAAAUUAUGAUCUAUACAAUUAAAAUAAA
RNAcentral lists this long non-coding RNA (1694 nucleotides) under Megachile rotundata (alfalfa leafcutting bee). RNAcentral's name for it is "uncharacterized LOC105663384". Lineage: Eukaryota; Metazoa; Arthropoda; Insecta; Hymenoptera; Megachilidae. The record is from RNAcentral.